This 2631-nucleotide long non-coding RNA is filed under the name Homo sapiens (human). Its description in RNAcentral is "HSALNT0356089". Lineage: Eukaryota; Metazoa; Chordata; Mammalia; Primates; Hominidae. The record is from RNAcentral.
CCUCCCAUAGUGCUGGGACUACAGGCGUGAGCCACCAUGCCCAGCCCCGGAGCCUUGGCUAAUGACUCAGUUGUACAAAAUCAUUUGCCUCUGAGCCUUCAUAACACUUAUUAUCGGUGCUAUUCAUGUGGCAUCUGCAAAAUACUAUCUUUGUGCAGUGGAAAGAAGAUAGAACUUAAAAGCCUGAGUGUCGAGCAUCCAUUCUACCCUUUGCUGAGCAUCCAUUCUACCCUUUGCUGGCCCUGUCACUUGGAGACACUACACACACGGACAUUGCCUCAUCUUUGUAGUGGGGAUGACGGCACAUGCACUCCCUUCCCAGAGGCGUGAGGGUCACAGGAGACCCUGGCGUCUGUCUCUCCCCUCGCUAGCCACUAGAGAUCCUGACAGUUAAGCCUGGUACUAAUCCUCAAGAAGUUUACAGCCUGGUCAAAAAGAGAAGCAUACCGGAACAAAUAUGAAACAAAACCUUACACCACAAGCACACACACUAAUGGGACACGAGCCCAGUAAAGGCAGAAAUGGCUCCAAGGCCUGGAAGCUUGAGGAAUGCAGGAUGUGAGUUGGAAGGAUGGGUGGAAUUUAAAUAAACGGGCAGGGAGCAUUCUAAAUGGUGGGGGGGGGCGGUGGAGGCAAAAACCCAAACAGGAAAUUGAGCAACACGUUCAGGAAAGACAGAGCAUGGCUGCUGGGCAGCCAGGUCAACCGGACGGCAAGGCAGGGGUUGGCCGGGGAAGCACUGCGCCGCCCCUGCAUGCCCUGCAUCCUCGGGUCCUGGGAGGGCUGCUCAGUAACUGGAAGGAAAAUGAAACUGAAAAAGAGCAAGGGUCCCGUAGGAUUGAACACAGUUGGUGAAACUUGGGCCGUCUGCCUCAAGUCCCCGCUUGGCAAAACCACUCCCUCCUGGUGGACGCCCUCACCAUGAAGAUGGCACGGUGCCUGCUUCAGGUGGCUGCUGAGGAGAAGAAACCCUUCAAUGCAUGCAAAGCACUCACGCCUGGCACGCAGGGAGCACCCAGAGGAAGCACUAGUGACCUCCCAGGCUGGAAACACCACAAGGACAGGGCACUGUCAGCUUCGCUGCUGCCCUGUGGGGCUCCACAUCACAGACUGAUAUGCUAGCAGGACCGCACACAUCUGCUGCCCAGGAAAGGACGGUUUCGUAUUUUCUGGAUUAUGACCAGCUAUUGAUCUACUUAUUCUACAAUCUGUAACCUACGUUUUGAUUUAUUUGGUCUUUUCUCUUAGACGGCCUGCCUACCAGCUAUGAAAAAGAACAGAAAACCACCAGGCAAACACUCCAGUUAUGGCCAACAAGUACUAACAGCUGACGAGGUGAAAUCCUGUCUGAAGUCACAGAUUUUGCUGAAGUCCCUUGGACUGUCAUCUCAAUUUCCUUCCCGAGAGACAGCCAAGACCAUGAACCUGGCGAGGUCCCUCCAACCCACGGUGAAAUAGCUUCUCGUUUACACGUGUCCAAGGACACAGGUCUCCUUUUAUAGAUGUCUAAUUUACAUGAAUGUUACGCUUCUGGCUUCCUCCUCACCUAGGUUUUCUAAAAUGCUGUAGAGGACUCAGUCACAGCGCUCUCUUGUAUUUCAUUUACCCAUUCCCUUGCUGUGGUUACUCGGUUGUUUCCAAACUAUUUCCAACAAUGCAGCAAUGAACAUCCUGUACCUGACUCCCUGUCCACUCCAGAAGUUUCUCCAGGGCUAGGCUCUCAAGCCGUUUUUGACGCAGUUACCAUUAUAAUGCUAUACAUACGCACAUAUGUAAGAAACACACAUGGAAGAAAAGUUUCACAAAACAUGACUUAACCUAACAUGCAGUGUUCUCUGAUUUCUUUAGAUUUUAUGCCAUUUAACUCUUUUUAAGCCUCUCAUAACCCACCAGAUUAACUGUUUUUAUUUAUAUAAAUUUAAGGGGUGGGGGUCACACCUGUAGUCCCAGCACUUUGGGAGACUGAAGUGGGAGGAUCACUUGAGCCCAGGAGUUCGAGACCAGCCUGGGCAACAUGGCGAAACCCUGUCUCUACCAAAAAUACAAAAAUUAGCUAGGCAUAGUGGUGCACACCUGUAGUCUCAGCUACUCGGGAGGCUGAGGUUGCAGUGAGUUGAGAUCGUGCCACUGCACUCCAGCCUGGGCAACAAAGCAAGACCCUGUAUCUAAACAAAUAAACAAAAAGAAUCUAAGAUUCUGUGAGACCAAGAAGCUGUCUUUGGCCAGACAUAGUGGCUCAAGCCUGUAAUCUCAGCAAUUUGGGAGGCCAAGGCAAACGGAUCACUUGAGGUCAGGAGUUUGAGACCAGCCCAGUCAAUAUGGGUGAAACCCCAUCUCUACUAAAAAUACAAAAAUUAGCCAGGCAUGGUAGCACACGCCUGUAAUCCCAGCUACUCUGAGGCUGAGGCCUGAGAAUCGCUUGAGCCCGGGAGGUGGAGGUUGCGGUGAGCCGAGCAAGAUGGCACCACUGCACUCCAGCCUGGGCUACAGAGAGAGACUCCAUCUCAAAAAAAAAAAAAAACAAAAAAAAAAACCUGUCUUUGAAACAUAACUUCAUGUCACUUAACACCUCAACAAUGUAAUAAUUUCCUUCACUUUCCCAAAACUUAAAGAAACAAAUGAACAAAAUGG